Molecule: transfer RNA, 70 nt
Filed under: Lagocephalus sceleratus (silver-cheeked toadfish)
Lineage: Eukaryota; Metazoa; Chordata; Actinopteri; Tetraodontiformes; Tetraodontidae
Description: tRNA-Ile
Rfam family: tRNA
About the family: Transfer RNA (tRNA) molecules are approximately 80 nucleotides in length. Their secondary structure includes four short double-helical elements and three loops (D, anti-codon, and T loops).
Source: RNAcentral
GGAGCCAUGCCUGAAAUAAAGGGCCACUUUGAUAGAGUGAACCAUGGGGGUUAGAGUCCCCCUGACUCCU